GACGAACGCUGGCGGCGUGCCUAAUACAUGCGAGUCGAACGCACUCUCGUUUAGAUUGAAGGAGUUUGCUCCUGAUUGAUAAACAUUUGAGUGAGUGGCGGACGGGUGAGUAACACGUGGGUAACCUGCCCUAAAGUGGGGGAUAACAUUUGGAAACAGAUGCUAAUACCGCAUAAAACCUAACACCGCAUGGUGUAGGGUUGAAAGAUGGUUUCGGCUAUCACUUUAGGAUGGACCCGCGGUGCAUUAGUUAGUUGGUGAGGUAAAGGCUCACCAAGACCGUGAUGCAUAGCCGACCUGAGAGGGUAAUCGGCCACACUGGGACUGAGACACGGCCCAGACUCCUACGGGAGGCAGCAGUAGGGAAUCUUCCACAAUGGACGAAAGUCUGAUGGAGCAACGCCGCGUGAGUGAAGAAGGUUUUCGGAUCGUAAAACUCUGUUGUUGGAGAAGAAUGUAUCUGAUAGUAACUGAUCAGGUAGUGACGGUAUCCAACCAGAAAGCCACGGCUAACUACGUG
RNAcentral lists this ribosomal RNA (520 nucleotides) under uncultured bacterium. RNAcentral describes it as "partial 16S ribosomal RNA". It matches the Rfam family "Bacterial small subunit ribosomal RNA", at positions 28 to 507 of the family's 1533-position model. The record is from RNAcentral.